GAUGAACGCUGGCGGCGUGCCUAAUACAUGCAAGUCGAGCGAACGGACGAGAAGCUUGCUUCUCUGAUGUUAGCGGCGGACGGGUGAGUAACACGUGGAUAACCUACCUAUAAGACUGGGAUAACUUCGGGAAACCGGAGCUAAUACCGGAUGAUAUUUUGAACCGCAUGGUUCAAAAGUGAAAGACGGUCUUGCUGUCACUUAUAGAUGGAUCCGCGCUGCAUUAGCUAGUUGGUAAGGUAACGGCUUACCAAGGCAACGAUUCAUAGCCGACCUGAGAGGGUGAUCGGCCACACUGGAACUGAGACACGGUCCAGACUCCUACGGGAGGCAGCAGUAGGGAAUCUUCCGCAAUGGGCGAAAGCCUGACGGAGCAACGCCGCGUGAGUGAUGAAGGUCUUCGGAUCGUAAAACUCUGUUAUUAGGGAAGAACAUAUGUGUAAGUAACUGUGCACAUCUUGACGGUACCGAAUCAGAAAGCCACGGCUAACUACGU
This 496-nucleotide ribosomal RNA is filed under the name uncultured bacterium. RNAcentral describes it as "partial 16S ribosomal RNA". It matches the Rfam family "Bacterial small subunit ribosomal RNA", at positions 28 to 506 of the family's 1533-position model. The record is from RNAcentral.